RNAcentral lists this ribosomal RNA (699 nucleotides) under uncultured bacterium. RNAcentral describes it as "bacterial SSU rRNA". It matches the Rfam family "Bacterial small subunit ribosomal RNA", at positions 202 to 897 of the family's 1533-position model. The record is from RNAcentral.
UAAGGCCUGGCACUUCUCGAUAAGCCCGCGGCCUAUCAGCUAGUUGGUGAGGUAAUGGCUCACCAAGGCUAAGACGGGUAGCUGGUCUGAGAGGACGACCAGCCACACUGGAACUGAGACACGGUCCAGACACCUACGGGUGGCAGCAGUCGAGAAUUUUUCACAAUGGGCGAAAGCCUGAUGGAGCGACGCCGCGUGGGGGAUGAAUGGCUUCGGCCCGUAAACCCCUGUCAUUUGCGAACAAACCUUAUCAUUUAAAAGAUGAUGAGCUGAUUGUAGCGAAAGAGGAAGGGACGGCUAACUCUGUGCCAGCAGCCGCGGUAAUACAGAGGUCCCAAGCGUUGUUCGGAUUCACUGGGCGUAAAGGGUGCGUAGGUGGCCGGUUAAGUCUGACGUGAAAUCUCCGAGCCUAACUCGGAAACUGCAUCGGAAACUAUCCGGCUCGAGGGUUGGAGGGGGGGACUGGAAUACUUGGUGUAGCAGUGAAAUGCGUAGAUAUCAAGUGGAACACCAGUGGCGAAAGCGAGUCCCCGGACAAGACCUGACACUGAGGCACGAAAGCCAGGGGAGCAAACAGGAUUAGAUACCCUGGUAGUCCUGGCUGUAAACGGUGCAUGUUUGCUGUAAAAGGAAUCGACCCCUUUUGUGGCGAAGCUAACGCGAUAAACGUGCCGCCUGGGAAGUACGGUCGCAGAUUAA